RNAcentral lists this ribosomal RNA (447 nucleotides) under uncultured bacterium. Its description in RNAcentral is "SSU rRNA". It matches the Rfam family "Bacterial small subunit ribosomal RNA", at positions 26 to 518 of the family's 1533-position model. The record is from RNAcentral.
AGAGCGAACGCUGGCGGCAGGCCUAACACAUGCAAGUCGAGCGCCGUAGCAAUACGGAGCGGCAGACGGGAGAGUAACACGUGGGAACGUACCUUUUGGUUCGGAACAACUGAGGGAAACUUCAGCUAAAUACCGGAUAAGCCCUUACGGGGAAAGAUUUAUCGCCAAAAGAUCGGCCCGCGUCUGAUUAGCUAGUUGGUGAGGUAACGGCUCACCAAGGCGACGAUCAGUAGCUGGUCUGAGAGGAUGAUCAGCCUCACUGGGACUGAGACACGGCCCAGACUCCUACGGGAGGCAGCAGUGGGGAAUAUUGGACAAUGGGCGAAAGCCUGAUCCAGCCAUGCCGCGUGGGUGAUGAAGGCCCUAGGGUUGUAAAGCCCUUUCGGCGGGGAAGAUAAUGACGGUACCCGCAGAAGAAGCCCCGGCUAACUUCGUGCCAGCAGCCGC